UGGGGAAUAUUGGACAAUGGGCGCAAGCCUGAUCCAGCAAUGCCGCGUGUGUGAAGAAGGCCUGCGGGUUGUAAAGCACUUUAAGCAGGGAGGACGGGAAGCGGGGCUAAUACCCUUGCCUCUUGACGUUACCUGCAGAAUAAGCACCGGCUAACUUCGUGCCAGCAGCCGCGGUAAUACGAAGGGUGCAAGCGUUAAUCGGAAUUACUGGGCGUAAAGCGCGUGUAGGCGGUUGGCUAAGUCAGAUGUGAAAGCCCCGGGCUCAACCUGGGAAUUGCAUUUGAUACUGGCUGGCUAGAAUGUGGUAGAGGGAGGCGGAAUUCCCGGUGUAGCGGUGAAAUGCGUAGAUAUCGGGAAGAACACCAAUGGCGAAGGCAGCCUCCUGGGCCAACAUUGACGCUGAGACGCGAAAGCGUGGGGAGCAAACAGG
Molecule: ribosomal RNA, 430 nt
Filed under: uncultured bacterium
Lineage: Bacteria
Description: bacterial SSU rRNA
Rfam family: Bacterial small subunit ribosomal RNA
Source: RNAcentral